RNAcentral lists this ribosomal RNA (486 nucleotides) under uncultured bacterium. RNAcentral describes it as "partial 16S ribosomal RNA". It matches the Rfam family "Bacterial small subunit ribosomal RNA", at positions 30 to 507 of the family's 1533-position model. The record is from RNAcentral.
AUUGAACGCUGGCGGCAAGCCUUACACAUGCAAGUCGAACGGCAGCACGGGUGCUUGCACCUGGUGGCGAGUGGCGAACGGGUGAGUAAUACAUCGGAACAUGUCCUGUAGUGGGGGAUAGCCCGGCGAAAGCCGGAUUAAUACCGCAUACGAUCUACGGAUGACAGCGGGGGACCUUCGGGCCUCGCGCUAUAGGGUUGGCCGAUGGCUGAUUAGCUAGUUGGUGGGGUAAAGGCCUACCAAGGCGACGAUCAGUAGCUGGUCUGAGAGGACGACCAGCCACACUGGGACUGAGACACGGCCCAGACUCCUACGGGAGGCAGCAGUGGGGAAUUUUGGACAAUGGGCGAAAGCCUGAUCCAGCAAUGCCGCGUGUGUGAAGAAGGCCUUCGGGUUGUAAAGCACUUUUGUCCGGAAAGAAAUCCUUGGCCCUAAUACGGUCGGGGGAUGACGGUACCGGAAGAAUAAGCACCGGCUAACUACGUG